AGACUUUAAUCUAUUUUUCGUAAUAGAGGAAUAAAAUAGUUAAUAAUGUCAAUACACAGAGACAUAAUAAUUUGAAAAACAUUCUUCAGUUCUAAAAUAAAACUCUGUGCCUGUGCAGCAGAAGCAACGCCUGAUAAUAGAACACAGAAAUGCUAAUAUUUUGAUGCCAAUGGAUGGAGGCAUAGGGGCUGUGUACAGCUUCUCUUCUUUUCCCUUCCUUUCUGCUUUGGUAGCAAAUUUGGAAGACAUUGUUCAGUUUUAAAAUAAAACUCUAUGCCCGUGCAGCAGAAGCAACAAAAUGAAAAUAGAGCACAGGAAUGCUAUAUGCUUAUGCAUACGCAGGAGCAACAUAUGCUUAUGCAUAUCUCUCAUAUUCACCAUAGCAUUUAGGGGGGAAGCACUGCAAAUAAUAAACUGACCAAGGACACUGAGACACUGCUAAAUUCUAGGGUUCAACAAUGCCACUUUCCAUAGGAUCCUGCUUUAGAGGGAAGCAGUUGGAUGAGCAUGUAAAGGAUUCAAAACAGUACCACUUCUCAAUGAUGUAAAGAAAGCUCAUCCAAGGGCUAAGAGAAUGUGUGCGCCAUGCAUAUAUUACGGUUACAUUAAAGUUGUUUUUAGCAGCCUUUAGCUUAAACAAUCUGCAAAAUGGCAUACCUGUUUCAAAUGCUCAAACAUUUCCCUUGACCUUGUGUAUCUGACCACAGGAUUUUUUUUGUUUCUUCAGCUUGAUGAUUGGCUUUUGUGUAAAGUCUACCAAGAUUUUGGACCAGAGGACAUAACUUUGGGGAUGGAAAAGAUUAAACACAUUUAGCACAACAGCUGAAGCAUAACAAGGGCUAUUUGUAAAUCAAAGUAUCAAUGAGCAGAUUUGCCCAUUGUUGUGCUUUAAGGUCAUUUUUAUCAUCCUUCAAAGCUACACACAUGGGACAGAAAUUACCAUUUUUACCUAUUUAUAUGAUGUAUCAAAAGUCAAAAUAGUUUGAAACAUAUCCAUUUAUAACAAAGAAGCAAGUGUACUUUAUUGAGGAGCAGAACUUUUCUUCUCUCAUAUCACCAAAUUUUUCUUAGUAUAUAAUAGCAUUCUUUCAAUGCAAGUCACAUUUAAGUAUACCACCACAAUCAGCUGGACAUUAUCCAUCCAUCUCUCAAACUAAUCCCACAAGAAGGAGAGCUAUCAGUUAACAAUGGCCCUCUUCUUCCAGUAGAUUGACUCUCAAUACUUGUGUAUGUAGCAGUAUAUGCUCCAAACAGACUCUCACUUGUAUAUAUUUUCCCCUUCCAUUUUAGGAUAAUGAGCUGCCUAACAAUCAAUCUUUCAAAAAUGGAUUACCCACAUCAAGUUUACAGCCAUCAACUUCUUGCUGUUUUAAUCUUACAUUAAGAUUAGAGAGGUGAUUAACAUAGCUAAAGUGUCAGGUAAAAGAUUUAUGAGAAAUACAACCUUCCCCCUUGUGAACCCAAACAGUCACAAGAAAUAUCACCAUACCCCAGGUAUAAACCUUUAGUCACUUGCAACUAGGAAUUAGAACAGGCAAAUGAUUACCAUCCUAUUUCCUCAAAACAAAAACUCUUAUUUCUUUCUAACAUUUAUAGCAUUCACGAGAAGUACAGGAAAGGAAAUCUUACUGCAAUACUCCACAAAGGUGUCACAUGUGUAGUAUAUAAUAUGCAAUUUGCAACCAUAGAAAAUCAAAGCAUAAUUCUUGGCUAAAGCAUUAAAAGCAAUAAAGAUCAAUGGGUUAGUGCAAACAUAAAAGAAGUUGAAAAGAAAAAAUGAAAAGAAACCAAAUGGGUAAACUUAUAAUGGCAUUUACUGUUUCUUCUAUCACAUCCUUCUUGAAAACAUUGCAGGAAACAUCUGCUAAAUCACAACAAUUUAACAUACAGUUUCAUUCAUUCUUCCAAGCAUACAAUAUAAGUGAGAAACCAAGACCUUGUAAUUGGUAGUCUCUGAAUCGCUGGGAGUAAGAGCAAGUCAAUACAGAGGGUUCAAAAACUGAUUGGCUUGUCCAUAAUUUCUCUGCAGAUAGGCAAGUUUGGAACAUGAAAACUGCAUUGUCCAUAGCAUUACCAAAUAACCAGUUAUGGACAUCCCAAAACACUUCAACUGGAAGCCCGUCCACCAAUAUGGUGCGAUUGCCCGGAACUUCCACUUCAGUCUCUUGACCUGCAUUACCAUCUUACGAUCAAUGUGGAUCACAAGACAUGGGUCCUUAAGAUCAACGGUAUCACAUUCGAUUGUGACAUUGUGCAUCUGCCCCUUAUCACAGAACUGAGCUUUUGCACCAUAGAACUUCUUCCCAAAAAUGUGCUCCUUCUUAGCAAUAAAAAUGGCAUGGGAAUUUACCGAGGCAUUGUCAAUUUUCUUGUAUGCUUCCUUCUUCAUAUCCCCAAGAAGUAACACCAUUUCUUGGUUAAAUGCAAUAGCCAAAUAAAAUCCUUCCGAAGGUUCUCACUUAUGAAAUUAAGAUGAACUAAAGAACCCGUAAUCUAAAGACUCCAAAGUCAGCUUCUUGAUGCUCCAAUUUGAUCUGGGUUUGUGUAGUUUUCGCUGCCCACAGAUGGAGAUGUGCGUGUGAGAGAAGGGGAGGACUUAACAAAGGAGGAAUUAACAAAGACAACAAAGACUAAUAAUUGAGAGAGGGCGAGGGA
Molecule: unclassified non-coding RNA, 2655 nt
Filed under: Hevea brasiliensis (rubber tree)
Lineage: Eukaryota; Viridiplantae; Streptophyta; Magnoliopsida; Malpighiales; Euphorbiaceae
Source: RNAcentral